This 535-nucleotide long non-coding RNA is filed under the name Capra hircus (goat). Its description in RNAcentral is "lncRNA (ENSCHIG00010027641.1)". Lineage: Eukaryota; Metazoa; Chordata; Mammalia; Artiodactyla; Bovidae. The record is from RNAcentral.
GCUGGCCUCUGCUUAUCUCUUCUCCCUCCAUCUCCAGGGCUGCUGGGAAGCCUAACGCAGCACAGUGAUUUGUAUUCUUUAAGUGUCUCUUGUCUCAUCAAGAAAGGGGCCCAUCUAGGCUGAUAUUGGGGAAAGUCAGACAUUCAAGGAACCCGGCCACAGAGAAGGCAAAGUCCAAAAUGAGAAACCCGCAUACAAACACACCACAGUGAUUCUCUGGAGGGUCCCUCACACUCAAAUAGUCAAUGCGUCAUAAAUAUUAAUUCCCUUCUGUCUCUGAAGAACUUCUCUUAGAGAUCUGUCUGCAUCAUAACUGCUUGCUUACCUCGAUCUCUGUUCACCAGUGGAUUUUAGCUGGUGGGGUACUGGAUGGUGGUGGGCAGGGACUGUCUUAGAAUUCCCAGGGACUAAUACAGAAUCCAGACCAUAGUACGUGUUGAAACAAAAUUAACCAAAUAAAAUUUUAGGGAUAUCUAACAUUCUGGCUAGAAUUCUAUUUAAUUUGAUUAUCACAUCAAACCUGCAUGGUUGGUUU